UGGGGAAUCUUGCACAAUGGGGGCAACCCUGAUGCAGCGACGCCGCGUGAGCGAUGAAGCCCUUCGGGGCGUAAAGCUCUUUCGACCGGAACGAUAAUGACGGUACCAUUUAUAAGCUCCGGCUAACUACGUGCCAGCAGCCGCGGUAAUAUGUAGGGAGCAAGCGUUGUUCGGAUUUACUGGGCGUAAAGGGCGCGUAGGCGGCGCGGUAAGUCACUUGUGAAAUCUCUGAGCUUAACUCAGAACGGCUAAGUGAUACUGCUGUGCUAGAGUGCGGAAGAGGCAACCGGAAUUCUUGGUGUAGCGGUGAAAUGCGUAGAUAUCAAGAGGAACACCUGAGGCGAAGGCGGGUUGCUGGGCCGACACUGACGCUGAUGCGCGAAAGCCAGGGGAGCAAACG
RNAcentral lists this ribosomal RNA (400 nucleotides) under uncultured bacterium. Its description in RNAcentral is "bacterial SSU rRNA". It matches the Rfam family "Bacterial small subunit ribosomal RNA", at positions 355 to 774 of the family's 1533-position model. The record is from RNAcentral.